Molecule: ribosomal RNA, 448 nt
Filed under: uncultured bacterium
Lineage: Bacteria
Description: bacterial SSU rRNA
Rfam family: Bacterial small subunit ribosomal RNA
Source: RNAcentral
ACCAGACUCCUACGGGAGGCAGCAGUGGGGAAUAUUGCACAAUGGGGGAAACCCUGAUGCAGCGACGCCGCGUGAGUGAAGAAGUAUUUCGGUAUGUAAAGCUCUACCAGCAGGGAAGAAAAUGACGGUACCUGACUAAGAAGCCCCGGCUAACUACGUGCCAGCAGCCGCGGUAAUACGUAGGGGGCAAGCGUUAUCCGGAUUUAUUGGGUGUAAAGGGAGCGUAGACGGUGAUGCAAGUCAGAAGUGAAAGCCCGGGGCUCAACUCCGGGACUGCUUUUGAAACUGUGUGACUGGAGUGCAGGAGAGGUAAGCGGAAUUCCUGGUGUAGCGGUGAAAUGCGUAGAUAUCAGGAGGAACACCAGUGGCGAAGGCGGCUUACUGGACUGUAACUGACGUUGAGGCUCGAAAGCGUGGGGAGCAAACAGGAUUAGAUACCCUGGUACCA